Molecule: ribosomal RNA, 496 nt
Filed under: uncultured bacterium
Lineage: Bacteria
Description: partial 16S ribosomal RNA
Rfam family: Bacterial small subunit ribosomal RNA
Source: RNAcentral
GAUGAACGCUGGCGGCGUGCCUAAUACAUGCAAGUCGAGCGAACGGACGAGAAGCUUGCUUUUCUGAUGUUAGCGGCGGACGGGUGAGUAACACGUGGAUAACCUACCUAUAAGACUGGGAUAACUUCGUGAAACCGGAGCUAAUACCGGAUAAUAUUUUGAACCGCAUGGUUCAAAAGUGAAAGACGGUCUUGCUGUCACUUAUAGAUGGAUCCGCGCUGCAUUAGCUAGUUGGUAAGGUAACGGCUUACCAAGGCAACGAUGCAUAGCCGACCUGAGAGGGUGAUCGGCCACACUGGAACUGAGACACGGUCCAGACUCCUACGGGAGGCAGCAGUAGGGAAUCUUCCGCAAUGGGCGAAAGCCUGACGGAGCAACGCCGCGUGAGUGAUGAAGGUCUUCGGAUCGUAAAACUCUGUUAUUAGGGAAGAACAUAUGUGUAAGUAACUGUGCACAUCUUGACGGUACCUAAUCAGAAAGCCACGGCUAACUACGU